This 497-nucleotide ribosomal RNA is filed under the name uncultured bacterium. RNAcentral describes it as "partial 16S ribosomal RNA". It matches the Rfam family "Bacterial small subunit ribosomal RNA", at positions 28 to 507 of the family's 1533-position model. The record is from RNAcentral.
GAUGAACGCUGGCGGCGUGCCUAAUACAUGCAAGUCGAGCGAACAGACGAGGAGCUUGCUCCUCUGACGUUAGCGGCGGACGGGUGAGUAACACGUGGAUAACCUACCUAUAAGACUGGGAUAACUUCGGGAAACCGGAGCUAAUACCGGAUAAUAUAUUGAACCGCAUGGUUCAAUAGUGAAAGACGGUUUUGCUGUCACUUAUAGAUGGAUCCGCGCCGCAUUAGCUAGUUGGUAAGGUAACGGCUUACCAAGGCAACGAUGCGUAGCCGACCUGAGAGGGUGAUCGGCCACACUGGAACUGAGACGCGGUCCAGACUCCUACGAGAGGCAGCAGUAGGGAAUCUUCCGCAAUGGGCGGAAGCCUGACGGAACAACGCCGCGUGAGUGAUGAAGGUCUUCGGAUCGUAAAACUCUGUUAUUAGGGAAGAACAAAUGUGUAAGUAACUAUGCACGUCUUGACGGUACCUAAUCAGAAAGCCACGGCUAACUACGUG